RNAcentral lists this long non-coding RNA (1910 nucleotides) under Lactuca sativa (garden lettuce). RNAcentral describes it as "long non-coding RNA (LSAT_LNC009725)". Lineage: Eukaryota; Viridiplantae; Streptophyta; Magnoliopsida; Asterales; Asteraceae. The record is from RNAcentral.
AUGGUAGUUGCUUAAGGUGUCCAUGGUUGACAUAUGGAUGACAUAUGGGCUAUUGGUCAACAUGGUUGUUGCUUACGGUGUCCAUGGUUGAAUGUAGGCCAUUAGUCAACAUGGUAGUUGAUUAUGGUGUCCAUGGUUGACAUAUGGAUAACAUAUGAGCCAUUGGUCAACAUGGUUGUUGCUUAUCGUGUCCAUGGUUGACAUAUGGGCCAUUAGUCAACAUGGUAGUUGCUUAAGGUGUCCAUGGUUAACAUAUGGGCCAUUGGUCAACAUGGAGUUGAGUAUGGUGUCCAUGGUUGACAUAUGGAUGACAUAUCGGCCCUUAGUCAACAUCCUAGUUGCUUAUGGUGUCCAUGGUUGACAUAUGGAUGACAUAUGGGCCAUUGGUCAACAUGGUAGUUUCUUAUGGUAUCAAUGGUUGACGUAUGGAUGAUAUAUGGGCGAUUGGUCAACAUGGUUGUUGCUUAUGGUGUCCAUGGUUGAUAUAUGGGCCAUUGGUCAACAUGGUAAUUGCUUAUGGUGUCAAUGGUUGACAUAUCGAUGACAUAUGGUCCAUUGUUGAACAUGGUAGUUGAUUAUGGUGUCCAUAGUUGACAUAUGGAUGACAUGUGGGCCAUUGGUCAACAUGGUUGUUGCUUAUGGUGUCCAUGGUUGACAUAUGGGCCAUUGGUCAACAUGGUAGUUGCUUAUGGUGUCCAUGGUUGACAUAUGGAUGACAUAUGGGCCAUUGGUCAAGAUGGUUGUUGCUUACGGUUUCCAUUGUCGACAUAUGGUCCAUUGUUCAACAUGGUCGUUGCUUAUGGUGUCCAUGGUUGACAUAUGGGCAGUUGGUCAACAUGGUUGUUUCUUAAGUUGUUCAUGCUUGAUAUAUGGAUUACAUAUGGGCUAUUGGUCAACAUGGUUGUUACUUAUGGUGUUCAUGGUUGACAUAAGGGCCAUUGGUCAACAUGGUAGUUGAUUAUGGUGUCCAUGGUUGACUUAUGGAUGACAUAUGGGCCAUUGGUCAAUAUGGCUAUUGCUUAUGGUGUCCAUGGUUGACAUAUGGGCCAUUGGUAAACAUGGUAGUUUCUUAUGGUGUCCAUGGAUGACAUACCGGCGAUUAGUCAACAUGGUAGUUGAUUAUGGUGUCCAUGGUUGACUUAUGGAUGACAUAUGGGCCAUUGGUCAAUAUGGCUAUUGCUUAUGGUGUCCAUGGUUGACAUAUGGGCCAUUGGUAAACAUGGUAGUUUCUUAUGGUGUCCAUGGAUGACAUACCGGCGAUUAGUCAACAUGGUAGUUGAUUAUGGUGUCCAUAGUUGACAUAUGGAUGACAUAUGGGCCAUUGGUCAACAUGGUUGUUGCUUAUGAUGUCUAUGAUUGACAUAUGGACCAUUGGUCAACAUGGCAGUUGCUUAUGUUGUCCAUGGUUAACAUAUGGAUGACAUAUAGGCCGUUGGUCAACAUGGUUGUUGCUUAUGGUGUCCAUGGUUGACAUAUGGUCCAUUGGUCAACAUGCUAGUUGCUUAUGGUGUCCAUGGUUGACAUAUGGGCCAUUGGUCAAGAUGGUUGUUUCUUAUGGUGUCCAUGGUUGACAUAUGGAUGUCAUAUGGGCUAUUAGACAACAUGGUAGUUGCUUACGGUGUCCAUGAUUGACAUAUGGGCCAUUGGUCAACAUGGUAGUUGUUUAAGGUGUCCAUGGUUGACAUAUGGACUAUUAGACAACAUGGUAGUUGCUUACGGUGUCCAUGAUUGACAUAUGGGCCAUUGGUCAACAUGGUAGUUGCUUAAGGUGUCCAUGGUUGACAUAUGGAUGACAUAUGGGCUAUUGGUCAACUUGGUUGUUGCUUACGGUGUCCAUGUUUGACAUGUGGGCCAUUGGUCAACAUGGUAGUUGAGUAUGGUGUCUAUGGUUGACAUAUGGGCCCUUGGUC